AUGGCUUCUCGCUAUCACUUCUGGAUGGACCUGCGGUGCAUUAGCUUGUUGGUGGGGUAACGGCCUACCAAGGCGAUGAUGCAUAGCCGAGUUGAGAGACUGAUCGGCCACAAUGGGACUGAGACACGGCCCAUACUCCUACGGGAGGCAGCAGUAGGGAAUCUUCCACAAUGGGCGCAAGCCUGAUGGAGCAACACCGCGUGAGUGAAGAAGGGUUUCGGCUCGUAAAGCUCUGUUGUUAAAGAAGAACACGUAUGAGAGUAACUGUUCAUACGUUGACGGUAUUUAACCAGAAAGUCACGGCUAACUACGUGCCAGCAGCCGCGGUAAUACGUAGGUGGCAAGCGUUAUCCGGAUUUAUUGGGCGUAAAGAGAGUGCAGGCGGUUUUCUAAGUCUGAUGUGAAAGCCUUCGGCUUAACCGGAGAAGUGCAUCGGAAACUGGAUAACUUGAGUGCAGAAGAGGGUAGUGGAACUCCAUGUGUAGCGGUGGAAUGCGUAGAUAUAUGGAAGAACACCAGUGGCGAAGGCGGCUACCUGGUCUGCAACUGACGCUGAGACUCGAAAGCAUGGGUAGCGAACAGGAUUAGAUACCCUGGUAGUCCAUGCCGUAAACGAUGAGUGCUAGGUGUUGGAGGGUUUCCGCCCUUCAGUGCCGGAGCU
RNAcentral lists this ribosomal RNA (661 nucleotides) under Limosilactobacillus fermentum. RNAcentral describes it as "bacterial SSU rRNA". It matches the Rfam family "Bacterial small subunit ribosomal RNA", at positions 207 to 853 of the family's 1533-position model. Lineage: Bacteria; Bacillati; Bacillota; Bacilli; Lactobacillales; Lactobacillaceae. The record is from RNAcentral.